RNAcentral lists this transfer RNA (76 nucleotides) under Vibrio parahaemolyticus. RNAcentral's name for it is "tRNA-Met". The record is from RNAcentral. Lineage: Bacteria; Pseudomonadati; Pseudomonadota; Gammaproteobacteria; Vibrionales; Vibrionaceae.
AAUUUGGUGGCCCCUCCCAGACUUGAACUGGGGACCAAUCGAUUAUGAGUCGACUGCUCUAACCACUGAGCUAAGG